This 254-nucleotide ribosomal RNA is filed under the name uncultured bacterium. Its description in RNAcentral is "partial 16S ribosomal RNA". It matches the Rfam family "Bacterial small subunit ribosomal RNA", at positions 524 to 776 of the family's 1533-position model. The record is from RNAcentral.
UACGGGGGGAGCAAGCGUUGUUCGGAUUUACUGGGCAUAAAGGGCGGGUAGGCGGCCACCGCAAGUCAGUUGUGAAAUCUCUGGGCUUAACCCAGAAAGGUCAACUGAUACUGCGGGGCUAGAGUGCAGAAGGGGCAACUGGAAUUCUCGGUGUAGCGGUGAAAUGCGUAGAUAUCGAGAGGAACACCUGCGGCGAAGGCGGGUUGCUGGGCUGACACUGACGCUGAACUGCGAAAGCUAGGGGAGCGAACGGG